GAUGAAGAACGUAGCGAAAUGCGAUACGUGAUGUGAAUUGCAAAUUCAGUGAAUCAUCGAGUCUUUGAACGCACAUUGCGCCCCCUGGUAUUCCGGGGGGCAUGCCUGUCCGAGCGUCAUUGCUGCCCUCAAGCACGGCUUGUGUGUUGGGCCCCGUCCUCCGAUCCCGGGGGACGGGCCCGAAAGGCAGCGGCGGCACCGCGUCCGGUCCUCGAGCGUAUGGGGCUUUGUCACCCGCUCUGUAGGCCCGGCCGGCGCUUGCCGAUCAACCCAAAUUUUUAUCCAGGUUGACCUCGGAUCAGGUAGGGAUACCCGCUGAACUUAAGCAUAUCAAUAAGCGGAGGA
Molecule: unclassified non-coding RNA, 345 nt
Filed under: soil metagenome
Description: partial contains 5.8S ribosomal RNA, internal transcribed spacer 2, and large subunit ribosomal RNA
Rfam family: 5.8S ribosomal RNA (bases 1-119)
Source: RNAcentral